UCCCAGGUGGCUCAGUGGUAAAGAAUCUACCUGCCAAUGUAGAAGAUGCAGGUUCAAUCCCUGUGUUGGGAA
Molecule: transfer RNA, 72 nt
Filed under: Bos taurus (domestic cattle)
Lineage: Eukaryota; Metazoa; Chordata; Mammalia; Artiodactyla; Bovidae
Also listed under: 3 other names
Rfam family: tRNA
About the family: Transfer RNA (tRNA) molecules are approximately 80 nucleotides in length. Their secondary structure includes four short double-helical elements and three loops (D, anti-codon, and T loops).
Source: Rfam by way of RNAcentral